Molecule: non-coding RNA, 43 nt
Filed under: Schistosoma mattheei
Lineage: Eukaryota; Metazoa; Platyhelminthes; Trematoda; Strigeidida; Schistosomatidae
Source: RNAcentral
GUCCAGCUGAUGAGUCCCAAAUGGGGCGAAACGCUUCCUGGAU